Molecule: long non-coding RNA, 1383 nt
Filed under: Homo sapiens (human)
Lineage: Eukaryota; Metazoa; Chordata; Mammalia; Primates; Hominidae
Description: androgen receptor regulated long noncoding RNA 1
Source: RNAcentral
GUCUUUUGAUUGGAGCAUUUAAUUCAUUUACACUCAAUUAAUGAUAGGUGAGAUUCCAGUGUUUCCUCCAGAAAGGCACAUUAUUCCUCCACCAUGGUCUUCUUUUUCCUGUGUACCUUGACCCUGUAGGAGAUGAGACUUCUAAAGUGAUUCCUUUCCCUCUUUUCUCCUCAUCACCCCUUCCCACUCUCUAAGGUUUUCAGGUGCUGGUUCCAUGGCUCUUCCUGAGCCGAAAAUAAGGAAACUCCAUAGACCUUGUCCACUGGAACUCGUUCCCAUCUACCCUCCACUCUAUCCAGCCCCAUGAGGACAAGGAACAUGAUUGGUUUUGCUCACUGCCGUAUCUUCCGUACCUAGUACGUAACAGGACAUCAAUAAAUAUUAGUUGAAUGGAAGAUUAAAUCAACAAAAUGGGUGAUGGAUCUCUGCAGUAAGUGGAAGAGUUCUUCAUGGCCCCCAAGGUUAUAUCCAUCUAGAACUUCAGCACGUAAUUUCAUCUGGAAAUAGUGCCUUUGCGGAUAUAAGUUAGGUAAAACUGAAGAUGAGAUCAUACUGGAUUAGGAUGGGAUCUAAAUCCAAUGAAAAUGUCUUCAUAAAAAACAGGAAAGAACCCAUAGAAACACAAGGAAGAAGGUCAUGUGAAGAUGGAGGCAGAGAUUGGAGGGAUGCAGCCACCGGCCCAGGAAUGCCAGCAGCCACCCAGAAGCUGGAAGGAAAUGAGGGAUUCUCUCCUAGAACCUUUAGAGAGAACAUGGUCCUGUGAACAGCUUGAUUUUGGACUUGCCCAUAGCUUGUAUACUCUUACUUUGGAUACAAUUUUAUCCAAACUUGGCUAAACAGUUUCUCAGCCUAUGGAAAAUUUAAAAUGGAGAAGAUUCAACUCGAUUCUUACAGAUUCAAAGCAAGAAAAUGAUGGGAACAUAGGAGGAGACCAAGAAAGCCUAUAAAAAGCAAAAAUAUGAAGUGAACAUUGUGGUAGCUUUAAGAUGUUUAGUGUAGCUGCAGGCACCCUAUACACAUGAAAACCCCCAAGGGGAAUCCCCAUAUCACAGUGUAGUGUGAUAUUUGACAUUCGUGAUCAUCUAGAGAUGUACAGAAAAGGUGAAUCUGUGUUCUGUAUAUUCUGCCUAAGGCAAAGAAAUGUUUAGCUCUCUUUAAAAUAGUUCCAUAAUUUUUUCUAAAAAGCUUUGCUUGAAAACUGUAAGCUUCCCAUAUCUGGAGCAUUUCACUUUAAAUAUUUGGAUAAAUAUGUUAUCUUCUUACUUGGACAUUUCAUGUGUUUAGGGAUUGUCUUCUAAAUUCUUCCUAAUUCAUAUAGCUGCUAACACUUCCCGCAGAGCUAAACCAUUACAGAUAUGAAAUAAAGACCUAUUGAUUUGACUU